CGGCUGCUCAGUAACACGUAGUCAACCUAACCUAUGGACGGGAAUAACCUCGGGAAACCGAGAAUAAUGCCCGAUAGAACACUAUACCUGGAAUGGUUUGUGUUCCAAAUGAUUUAUCGCCGUAGGAUGGGACUGCGGCCUAUCAGUUUGUUGGUGAGGUAAUGGCCCACCAAGACUAUUACAGGUACGGGCUCUGAGAGGAGUAGCCCGGAGAUGGGUACUGAGACACGGACCCAGGCCCUAUGGGGCGCAGCAGGCGAGAAAACUUUGCAAUGUGCGAAAGCACGACAAGGUUAAUCCGAGUGGUUUCUGCUAAAGGAACCUUUUGUUAGUCCUAGAAACACUAACGAAUAAGGGGUGGGCAAGUUCUGGUGUCAGCCGCCGCGGUAAAACCAGCACCUCAAGUGGUCAGGAUGAUUAUUGGGCCUAAAGCAUCCGUAGCCGGCUCUGUAAGUUUUCGGUUAAAUCUGUACGCUCAACGUACAGGCUGCCGGGAAUACUGCAGAGCUAGGGAGUGGGAGAGGUAGACGGUACUCGGGAGGAAGUGGUAAAAUGCUUUGAUCUCUCGAUGACCACCUGUGGCGAAGGCGGUCUACCAGAACACGUCCGACGGUGAGGGAUGAAAGCUGGGGGAGCAAACCGGAUUAGAUACCCGGGUAGUCCCAGCUGUAAACUAUGCAAACUCAGUGAUGCAUUGGCUUGUGGCCAAUGCAGUAUUGCAGGGAAGCCGUUAAGUUUGCCGCCUGGGAAGUACGUACGCAAGUAUGAAACUUAAAGGAAUUGGCGGGGGAGCAG
This 795-nucleotide ribosomal RNA is filed under the name uncultured marine thaumarchaeote. Its description in RNAcentral is "bacterial SSU rRNA". It matches the Rfam family "Archaeal small subunit ribosomal RNA", at positions 83 to 879 of the family's 1478-position model. Lineage: Archaea; Thermoproteati; Nitrososphaerota. The record is from RNAcentral.